RNAcentral lists this ribosomal RNA (357 nucleotides) under Aquabacterium sp. RNAcentral's name for it is "bacterial SSU rRNA". It matches the Rfam family "Bacterial small subunit ribosomal RNA", at positions 1 to 355 of the family's 1533-position model. Lineage: Bacteria; Pseudomonadati; Pseudomonadota; Betaproteobacteria; Burkholderiales; Sphaerotilaceae. The record is from RNAcentral.
AGAUUAAACUGAAGAGUUUGAUCCUGGCUCAGAUUGAACGCUGGCGGCAUGCCUUACACAUGCAAGUCGAACGGCAGCGCGGGAGCAAUCCUGGCGGCGAGUGGCGAACGGGUGAGUAAUAUAUCGGAACGUGCCCAGUAGUGGGGGAUAGCCCGGCGAAAGCCGGAUUAAUACCGCAUGAGACCUGAGGGUGAAAGCGGGGGAUCGCAAGACCUCGCGCUACUGGAGCGGCCGAUAUCAGAUUAGCUAGUUGGUGGGGUAAAGGCCUACCAAGGCAACGAUCUGUAGUUGGUCUGAGAGGACGACCAGCCACACUGGGACUGAGACACGGCCCAGACUCCUACGGGAGGCAGCAGU